UGGGGAAUAUUGGACAAUGGGCGGAAGCCUGAUCCAGCAACGCCGCGUGAGGGAUGACGGCCUUCGGGUUGUAAACCUCUUUCAGUACCGACGAAGCGCCCGUUGUGGGUGGUGACGGUAGGUACAGAAGAAGCACCGGCCAACUACGUGCCAGCAGCCGCGGUAAUACGUAGGGUGCGAGCGUUGUCCGGAAUUAUUGGGCGUAAAGGGCUCGUAGGCGGUUUGUCGCGUCGGGAGUGAAAACCAUGGGCUUAACUCAUGGCUUGCUUUCGAUACGGGCAGACUAGAGGUAUGCAGGGGAGAACGGAAUUCCUGGUGUAGCGGUGAAAUGCGCAGAUAUCAGGAGGAACACCGGUGGCGAAGGCGGUUCUCUGGGCAUUACCUGACGCUGAGGAGCGAAAGUGUGGGGAGCGAACA
This 417-nucleotide ribosomal RNA is filed under the name uncultured Nocardioides sp. RNAcentral's name for it is "bacterial SSU rRNA". It matches the Rfam family "Bacterial small subunit ribosomal RNA", at positions 355 to 774 of the family's 1533-position model. The record is from RNAcentral. Lineage: Bacteria; Bacillati; Actinomycetota; Actinomycetes; Propionibacteriales; Nocardioidaceae.